Molecule: long non-coding RNA, 1565 nt
Organism: Drosophila miranda
Lineage: Eukaryota; Metazoa; Arthropoda; Insecta; Diptera; Drosophilidae
Exons: 3
Source: RefSeq, a predicted model, not a curated record
ACACGGCAACAGCCUCUGAUGAUUGCGAUGGAAGAUGAGUGACAGGCAGCUAUGGUACUGUUUCUGAUACUGACUUUAUUGAUAAAAUUCUUUCUUAUUUAUAGGUAACAAAAGGUACGAAAGUGCCGAGUUUGUAAAAAUAUAUGUUGGUGUAUAAUGGAUAAGUUUAUUGUCUGGUGGGUGAUCAGCAAUUGCACCGAUGUCUUCGCCCUCUGCGGAGAGAGUGCAUUGUCAGCAGAACUCACUACAGUGGCUAGUGUGUUGUCGUGAGGUAUUAUAUUACAUGUUAAAUAGAACACUGUGUGACGGUGUCACUGUGUUAUGCCGACGAUUAUUAUUAACUAUUAAUUAUGCAUAUUUCUUCAACUGAACAGGUAUGGAUAUUUUAAAGCGAGCUAAAUGCCACAAAAGUUAUCGCAAAGAAAUUUCAAAUCAUUCAUCAUCUUGGAUAAAAUGUAUUUUUAAAACCAUUUUUAAUCACCAAAGUUCGUUUUCUCAUAGAAAGACGAUAAACUUCAAUAGCAACCUAUGUACGUACCUGGCAUUACACCACAUCCAUCGAAAUCUAGUCCAACACACUUUUUCAGCAUUCAAGGCUUGCCAGUCUAUAAAGACAACCAACUCUUCAAUAAUUUGCACCAAGGCACUGGUAAAAAACGGAUUAAUUCGAAAAUCUCAUCACAUGAAUAGAAACAAAAAGAAACUUAAAAAAAUUCUAUAUAAACUCAAUUGAACGAGCAGAUCAAUUCCGAUAUCCACGGAUGACAAAUUUACGUUUCGGAUUUUCUAGGGUCGCAGCUGAUUUAAGCCAUUGAACGAUGCUUCUAAUCUUGUAGCGACUAUUCACUAUUUACUAUUUUUUAAUAUUGGAAUACGAUUGUGGUUUCUUUUUUUUUUUGGUUCUAUCUUAGAGCUUCUAAGUUCAACUAAUUUGGUGAAAAUUUGAGUCACUUUAACAUUAAAUUUUUGACAUUUCCAUUCAAUUGCAGCUAACGGUGAUACAAUUAUUUGUCCUUUAAACAGCGCGGAAACAUCUUAAAACAGCAGUAAACUCAAGUGAUGGCUGUCUUUAAAAACGACCAAUCUCCAAGUUAGCGAAUGUCCCCACUAUAAAAAUGUAUGGGCGGAGAUAUUUCUAUAUGCCAUAUAUACCCUGCAGUACCAGCAUUGAGCGAUGACGAAUGUCAUCUACAAUGUCAUCGAGGCGUUGACGCCAGCCAAAUCGAACCCUUUGUUUUUUCUUUUGUUUCUUUCUUUUCCGCGCGUGCCGAACGUAGUUCGGUUCUGCCGACCGUGCGCAGAAGCAGAGAACUUCGUUUUAUCUUUUCGUCUUCUUUGCGCCUGCGUCGACAGCACUUUUUUGCUUUGUUCUUUGCUAAUUGCAAUCGUCAGACGGAGUUUUAAUAAGUGAUUAUUAAUCUGGAGUUUUAAUAAGUGAUUAUUAAUCUGUGAUUAUUAUUAUUAUCAGCGGCGGUGAAGAUGAAAAUACCCGACGAGCCAGCAGAAAAAGUGAUUCGGAAGGCUAUUCACAACAUUAAGAAUAGUCAUUUUCAGAAGACCUCAAG